GAUGAACGCUGGCGGCGUGCUUAACACAUGCGAGUCGAGCGGAAAGGCUCCUGCUUGCAGGGGUACUCGAGUGGCGAACGGGUGAGUAACACGUGGGUGAUCUGCCCUGCACUUCGGGAUAAGCCUGGGAAACUGGGUCUAAUACCGGAUAGGACGAUGGUUUGGAUGCCAUUGUGGAAAGUUUUUCGGUGUGGGAUGAGCUCGCGGCCUAUCAGCUUGUUGGUGGGGUAAUGGCCUACCAAGGCGUCGACGGGUAGCCGGCCUGAGAGGGUGUACGGCCACAUUGGGACUGAGAUACGGCCCAGACUCCUACGGGAGGCAGCAGUGGGGAAUAUUGCACAAUGGGCGCAAGCCUGAUGCAGCGACGCCGCGUGGGGGAUGACGGCCUUCGGGUUGUAAACUCCUUUCGCUAGGGACGAAGCGCAAGUGACGGUACCUGGAGAAGAAGCACCGGCUAACUACGUG
This 465-nucleotide ribosomal RNA is filed under the name uncultured bacterium. RNAcentral's name for it is "partial 16S ribosomal RNA". It matches the Rfam family "Bacterial small subunit ribosomal RNA", at positions 28 to 507 of the family's 1533-position model. The record is from RNAcentral.